GGGGAAUCUUGGACAAUGGGGGCAACCCUGAUCCAGCCAUGCCGCGUGAUCGAUGAAGGCCUUAGGGUUGUAAAGAUCUUUCAGCUGGGAAGAUAAUGACGGUACCAGCAGAAGAAGCCCCGGCUAACUCCGUGCCAGCAGCCGCGGUAAUACGGAGGGGGCUAGCGUUGUUCGGAAUUACUGGGCGUAAAGCGCACGUAGGCGGAUUGGAAAGUUGGGGGUGAAAUCCCGGGGCUCAACCCCGGAACUGCCUCCAAAACUUCCAGUCUGGAGGUCGAGAGAGGUGAGUGGAAUUCCGAGUGUAGAGGUGAAAUUCGUAGAUAUUCGGAGGAACACCAGUGGCGAAGGCGGCUCACUGGCUCGAUACUGACGCUGAGGUGCGAAAGCGUGGGGAGCAAAC
This 400-nucleotide ribosomal RNA is filed under the name uncultured bacterium. Its description in RNAcentral is "bacterial SSU rRNA". It matches the Rfam family "Bacterial small subunit ribosomal RNA", at positions 356 to 773 of the family's 1533-position model. The record is from RNAcentral.